Molecule: ribosomal RNA, 327 nt
Filed under: uncultured eukaryote
Lineage: Eukaryota
Description: partial 18S ribosomal RNA
Rfam family: Eukaryotic small subunit ribosomal RNA
Source: RNAcentral
CCCUUAGAUGUUCUGGGCCGCACGCGCGCUACACUGACGAAGUCAGCGAGCAUCUCCUACGCCGAAAGGUGCGGGGAAUCUUGUGAAACUUUGUCGUGCUGGGGAUUGAUUUUUGAAAUUCUUGAUCAUCAACGAGGAAUUCCUAGUAAGCGCAAGUCAGCAGCUUGCGUUGAUUACGUCCCUGCCCUUUGUACACACCGCCCGUCGCUCCUACCGAUUGAAUGAUCCGAUGAAUAUCAUGGAUUGAGGAUGCAAGUAGGUUCGCCUAUCUUCAUCUUCGAGAAGUGAAGUAAAUCUUAUCAUUUAGAGGAAGGAGAAGUCGUAACA